This 468-nucleotide ribosomal RNA is filed under the name uncultured bacterium. RNAcentral describes it as "partial 16S ribosomal RNA". It matches the Rfam family "Bacterial small subunit ribosomal RNA", at positions 28 to 507 of the family's 1533-position model. The record is from RNAcentral.
GACGAACGCUGGCGGCGUGCUUAACACAUGCAAGUCGAACGGAAAGGCCCUGCUUUUGUGGGGUGCUCGAGUGGCGAACGGGUGAGUAACACGUGAGUAACCUGCCCUUGACUUUGGGAUAACUUCAGGAAACUGGGGCUAAUACCGGAUAGGAGCUCCUGCUGCAUGGUGGGGGUUGGAAAGUUUCGGCGGUUGGGGAUGGACUCGCGGCUUAUCAGCUUGUUGGUGGGGUAGUGGCUUACCAAGGCUUUGACGGGUAGCCGGCCUGAGAGGGUGACCGGCCACAAUGGGACUGACGUACGGCCCAGACUACAAAGGGACGCAGCAGUGGGGAAUAAUGCACAAUGGGCGGAAGCCGGAUGCAGCCACGCCGCGUGCGGGAUAACGGCCUUCGGGUUGUAAACCGCUUUCGCUUGUGACGAAGCGUGAGUGACGGUAAUGUGUAAAGAAGCACCGGCUAACUACGUG